GCAAAGACUCAGUGAUCAUGGGUUGCCUGUGCCCUGGUCAUCGAUAGUACUGGGAGAGGAGUCACUGAAAGACAUUUUUCCAUGUUUGAAGGGCCCAGUUGUCCCUUCCAAACCCUGGAUCUUUCACACA
Small nucleolar RNA from Mesoplodon densirostris (Blainville's beaked whale), 130 nucleotides. RefSeq annotates it as small nucleolar RNA SNORA71. The record is from RefSeq and is a predicted model, not a curated record. The transcript has a single exon. Lineage: Eukaryota; Metazoa; Chordata; Mammalia; Artiodactyla; Ziphiidae.